This 381-nucleotide ribosomal RNA is filed under the name Cercozoa sp. RNAcentral's name for it is "SSU rRNA". It matches the Rfam family "Eukaryotic small subunit ribosomal RNA", at positions 585 to 972 of the family's 1831-position model. The record is from RNAcentral. RNAcentral also lists the same sequence under 1 other name. Lineage: Eukaryota; Cercozoa.
CCAGCUCCAGUAGCGUAUAUUAACAUUGUUGCAGUUAAAAAGCUCGUAGUUGGAUUUCUGGUAUGAUGGGCUUAAGCUGCUCCGGUUUCGGACGUAUGUCUUUUGUUUAUCUGCCAUCCUUGUAGAAACUCUCACCUUAACCAGUGGGACUAUCUACAUCUUUUACUUUGAAAAAAUUAGAGUGUUUAAAGCAGGCAUUGUGCCUAAAUACAUUAGCAUGGAAUAAUAAUAUAGGACUUUUGUUCUAUUUUGUUGGUUUCUAGGACGAAAGUAAUGAUUGAUAGGGAUAGUUGGGGGUGCUAGUAUUCAGCGGCCAGAGGUGAAAUUCUUGGAUUCGCUGAAGACUAACUUAUGCGAAAGCAUUCACCAAGGAUGUCUUCU